RNAcentral lists this unclassified non-coding RNA (518 nucleotides) under Hevea brasiliensis (rubber tree). Lineage: Eukaryota; Viridiplantae; Streptophyta; Magnoliopsida; Malpighiales; Euphorbiaceae. The record is from RNAcentral.
GUUUUGAAUUUUUCAUCAUUAAUGCUCAAACUAUAUAUAUAGGUGUAUCCUUUGUGUCAUUUUUGCUUUAUUUGCUUCCCUGAAUUUUCUCGAAUUUCCUCCAGCGGGCGAUUUUUGCAUUUCUUGAUGUCAUUCAAGCGAAGUGAUUUCUUCUAGUGAAAAGUUGUGCUCUCUUUUUUCUGCCUUCUUCUUUUCUGUUGCUCUUUUUUCUUUUUCAAAGAUGAGUGAUAUCGAUAGUCAAAGGACAGAGAGUACUCCGUUUGUUCAAUUUUCGUGAAGUUCCAAUGAGGAUGUGGGAAUUAGUGGGCGGGAUGAUGUAGGUGAAGUGCAAACUGAGCCAAAUCCACAUAACUUUAACGGUCCUAGCAAAAAGAAAGCUCAAAAGCCAAGGAAAGAGUCGCUUCCGGUGGAUAAGGUUCUGUCAGUUCUGUUAUCCUCCAAUCUUGCCUGAAUAAGUGAAGAGUUCCAACCUCUCGGGGGAUUUGUUCCAACUAAUCAAGUGUCAUGGGGACUUUCAU